CCUACGGGAGGCUGCAGUGGGGAAUAUUGGACAAUGGGGGCAACCCUGAUCCAGCCAUGCCGCGUGUGUGAAGAAGGCCCUCGGGUUGUAAAGCACUUUCAGUGAGGAAGAACGCCUGGUGGUUAAUACCCAUCAGGAAAGACAUCACUCACAGAAGAAGCACCGGCUAACUCCGUGCCAGCAGCCGCGGUAAUACGGAGGGUGCGGGCGUUAAUCGGAAUUACUGGGCGUAAAGCGCGCGUAGGUGGCUUGAUAAGCCGGUUGUGAAAGCCCCGGGCUCAACCUGGGAACGGCAUCCGGAACUGUCAAGCUAGAGUGCAGGAGAGGAAGGUAGAAUUCCCGGUGUAGCGGUGAAAUGCGUAGAGAUCGGGAGGAAUACCAGUGGCGAAGGCGGCCUUCUGGACUGACACUGACACUGAGGUGCGAAAGCGUGGGUAGCAAACAGGAUUAGAUACCCUGGUAGUC
This 465-nucleotide ribosomal RNA is filed under the name Vreelandella stevensii. RNAcentral's name for it is "partial 16S ribosomal RNA". It matches the Rfam family "Bacterial small subunit ribosomal RNA", at positions 338 to 795 of the family's 1533-position model. Lineage: Bacteria; Pseudomonadati; Pseudomonadota; Gammaproteobacteria; Oceanospirillales; Halomonadaceae. The record is from RNAcentral.